This 253-nucleotide ribosomal RNA is filed under the name uncultured bacterium. RNAcentral describes it as "partial 16S ribosomal RNA". It matches the Rfam family "Bacterial small subunit ribosomal RNA", at positions 524 to 776 of the family's 1533-position model. The record is from RNAcentral.
UACGGAGGGAGCUAGCGUUGUUCGGAAUUACUGGGCGUAAAGCGCGCGUAGGCGGCGAUAUAUGUCGGGGGUGAAAGCCCGGGGCUCAACCCCGGAACUGCCCUCGAAACUGUAUCGCUAGAAUCUGGGAGAGGUGAGUGGAAUUCCGAGUGUAGAGGUGAAAUUCGUAGAUAUUCGGAAGAACACCAGUGGCGAAGGCGGCUCACUGGACCAGUAUUGACGCUGAGGUGCGAAAGCGUGGGGAGCAAACAGG